GCUGGGCAUGUUGGCACAUGCCUGUAGUCCCAGCUACUUGGGAGGCUGAGACAGGAGGAUCACUUGAUCCCAGGAGUUCCAGGUUUCAGUAAACUAUGAUCAUGCCAUUGAACUCCAGCCUUGGCAACAGAGUGAGACCCUGUCUCUA
Unclassified non-coding RNA from Macaca fascicularis (crab-eating macaque), 148 nucleotides. It matches the Rfam family "Metazoan signal recognition particle RNA". Rfam says of the family: The signal recognition particle (SRP) is a universally conserved ribonucleoprotein. It is involved in the co-translational targeting of proteins to membranes. The record is from Ensembl. NCBI's taxonomy places the organism in Eukaryota, Metazoa, Chordata, Mammalia, Primates, Cercopithecidae.